This 219-nucleotide unclassified non-coding RNA is filed under the name Hevea brasiliensis (rubber tree). Lineage: Eukaryota; Viridiplantae; Streptophyta; Magnoliopsida; Malpighiales; Euphorbiaceae. The record is from RNAcentral.
UUUCACGGAUCGUCCACCACUGGAGUUAAAAAACAAAGUAGAAGACAAGCAGGAACGAGGCAUUAAUCUGUUGCAGAUGUACGAAGUGGCAGUAAGGGCUGGGAGGAUUAUGAUAAGAGAAUGGAGAGCUGCUCCUAGCCUGGGAGGAUGAGGCCAUUCCAGUCAAGUAGAGUUGAGUUGACUCGGUGAGUGAGAAAGAGUUCCAGAGAGGGGAUGAGA